Molecule: transfer RNA, 74 nt
Filed under: Loxodonta africana (African savanna elephant)
Lineage: Eukaryota; Metazoa; Chordata; Mammalia; Proboscidea; Elephantidae
Rfam family: tRNA
About the family: Transfer RNA (tRNA) molecules are approximately 80 nucleotides in length.
Source: Rfam by way of RNAcentral
GUCCCUGGGGUGAAAAUGGUUAAUGUGUUUGGCUGCUAACUGAAAGGUUGGAGGUUCGAAUCCACUCAGAGGCA